CCUACGGGUGGCUGCAGUAGGGAAUUUUGCGCAAUGGGCGAAACCCUGACGCAGCAACGCCGCGUGAUCGAUGAAGCCCUUCGGGGUGUAAAGAUCUGUCAGUGGGGACGAAACCUGACGAUACCCACCGAGGAAGCACCGGCUAACUCCGUACCAGCAGCCGCGGUCAUACGGGGGGUGCAAGCGUUGUCCGGAAUCAUUGGGCGUAAAGAGUUUGUAGGUGGUACGUUAAGUAUGGUGUUAAAGGCGGAAGCUCAAGUUCCGUAGGGCACUGGAUACUGGCGAGCUUGAAUGCGGUAGAGGUAAAGGGAAUUCCUGGUGUAGCGGUGAAAUGCGUAGAUAUCAGGCGGAACAUCGAUGGCGUAAGCGCUUUACGGGGCCGUAAUUGACACUGAGGAACGAAAGCCGGGGUAGCAAAUGGGAUUAGAUACCCCUGUAGUC
RNAcentral lists this ribosomal RNA (441 nucleotides) under uncultured bacterium. Its description in RNAcentral is "partial 16S ribosomal RNA". It matches the Rfam family "Bacterial small subunit ribosomal RNA", at positions 338 to 795 of the family's 1533-position model. The record is from RNAcentral.